GGAGAGGUGGCCGAGUGGCUGAAGGCAGCUGCCUGCUAAGCAGUUGUACCUGUAAAAGGGUACCCAGGGUUCGAAUCCCUGCCUCUCCG
RNAcentral lists this transfer RNA (89 nucleotides) under Deltaproteobacteria bacterium RIFCSPHIGHO2_02_FULL_50_15. RNAcentral describes it as "tRNA-Ser". It matches the Rfam family "tRNA". Rfam says of the family: Transfer RNA (tRNA) molecules are approximately 80 nucleotides in length. Their secondary structure includes four short double-helical elements and three loops (D, anti-codon, and T loops). The record is from RNAcentral. RNAcentral also lists the same sequence under 2 other names. Lineage: Bacteria; Deltaproteobacteria.